CACAAGCGGUGGAUGAUGUGGAUUAAUUCGAUGCAACGCGAAGAACCUUACUACCUUGACAUGUCCGGAACUUGCCAGAGAUGGCUUGGUGCCCGAAAGGGAAUCGGAACACAGGUGCUGCAUGGCUGUCGUCAGCUCGUGUCGUGAGAUGUUGGGUUAAGUCCCGCAACGAGCGCAACCCUUAUCAUUAGUUGCUACGCAAGGGCACUCUAAUGAGACUGCCGGUGACAAACCGGAGGAAGGUGGGGAUGACGUCAAGUCCUCAUGGCCCUUAUGGGUAGGGCUUCACACGUCAUACAAUGGUCGGUACAGAGGGUUGCCAAGCCGCGAGGCGGAGCCAAUCCCACAAAGCCGAUCGUAGUCCGGAUCGCAGUCUGCAACUCGACUGCGUGAAGUCGGAAUCGCUAGUAAUCGUGGAUCAGCAUGUCACGGUGAAUACGUUCCCGGGUCUU
RNAcentral lists this ribosomal RNA (452 nucleotides) under uncultured Uliginosibacterium sp. RNAcentral describes it as "bacterial SSU rRNA". It matches the Rfam family "Bacterial small subunit ribosomal RNA", at positions 924 to 1382 of the family's 1533-position model. Lineage: Bacteria; Pseudomonadati; Pseudomonadota; Betaproteobacteria; Rhodocyclales; Zoogloeaceae. The record is from RNAcentral.